AGGACAGUAGUUCAACUGGUAGAGCACCGGUCUCCAAAACCGGGUGUUGCGGGUUCGAUUCCUGCCUGUCCUGCCA
Molecule: transfer RNA, 76 nt
Filed under: Candidatus Cloacimonetes bacterium HGW-Cloacimonetes-3
Lineage: Bacteria; Pseudomonadati; Candidatus Cloacimonadota
Also listed under: 1 other name
Description: tRNA-Trp
Rfam family: tRNA
About the family: Transfer RNA (tRNA) molecules are approximately 80 nucleotides in length. Their secondary structure includes four short double-helical elements and three loops (D, anti-codon, and T loops). Further hydrogen bonds mediate the characteristic L-shaped molecular structure. tRNAs have two regions of fundamental functional importance: the anti-codon, which is responsible for specific mRNA codon recognition, and the 3' end, to which the tRNAs corresponding amino acid is attached (by aminoacyl-tRNA synthetases). tRNAs cope with the degeneracy of the genetic code in two manners: having more than one tRNA (with a specific anti-codon) for a particular amino acid; and 'wobble' base-pairing, i.e. permitting non-standard base-pairing at the 3rd anti-codon position.
Source: RNAcentral